Molecule: long non-coding RNA, 1140 nt
Filed under: Salvia miltiorrhiza (redroot sage)
Lineage: Eukaryota; Viridiplantae; Streptophyta; Magnoliopsida; Lamiales; Lamiaceae
Description: long non-coding RNA (SMIL_LNC008370)
Source: RNAcentral
AAAAAAUAAGGGAUUUUAAUUGCAGAAUUACAACUACUUAAUCACUCCCUUAUUACCUUCUCUCUCCUACUUCAUCACUUUAUUAUCUUAUCUCUUCUACUUUAUUAUCACUUUAUUACCUUCUGCCUCCUACUUUUUAUCACUUUAUCAAACAAGAGACAUAUAUCAAGAGUAAAACAAGAAUAACCACCAUUCAAUCACAAACCCGAAAUUCACUUCGAAAACCUUCUUCUCUUCCACAAAUUCAUAACAAAAUCGCAAGUAUCAAAGAGCAAGCUAAGCAUAAAGGGACCAAUCGCCCAAUUGAAAGCAUAAGCAAAACAAGACACCCCCCUACACUUAAAGAAAGCCAUGUCCUCAGGGCACAAAAUAAAAAGAGUUAGAAUACGUCCCUGAUCAUUGGCGAAGAAAAGCAAUAAGCAUUGUGAGGGCGGCGCAGGAAAUAGGGUUUGCGGUCUUUGGUAGAGUAGAAAUGUCAGCGCUGGUCCUUUUCAGCGUGGAAAUUCAGGGCUGGAAGUGGACUGUGCAGCGCUAGCAUUCUUAAUCACUCCCUUAUUACCUUCUCUCUCCUACUUCAUCACUUUAUUACCUUAUCUCUCCUACUUUAUUAUCACUUUAUUACCUUCUGCCUCCUACUUUUUAUCACUUUAUUACUUUUUCUCUCCUACUUUAUCACUUUUAUACUACACACUUAAAACACUAAUUUACAAUUCCUUAAAUCCCGCCGAAAAGAAAUGUAUCAUCUUGGCUGGGACGGAGGGAGUAUUUACUAGUUGCUUUUGCCUUUAUGGCAGAUGAUAAGUAUUGUACUGAACGUGAUUUAUUUUCCUUUCUAUGGUGGUUAGCUGCUUGUAGUGACGAAUCAGGGUCAUAUUUAUUUUCCUUUCUAUGGUGGUUAGUUGCUUGUAGUGACGAAUCAGGGUCAUAUUUUUCAUGAUCAAAUGCUUGGCACUUGGCAGUGAUCCAGAAUUUUCUCCGAUUGAGUUUCCAUCACUUUGGUUCUUAUCUUAUAUUUAAAGGGUUGGUAUAACCAUAACUCCUAAAUAACCAUAUUUCAGUUUUCGGACAUACAACUUAUAUUGUAACCAUAGCAAUUUUUGGUGCUCUACAGUCUCUUUUCAUGUAUUAAUUCUCCCUGGA